AUACGUAGGGGGCGAGCGUUGUCCGGAAUGAUUGGGCGUAAAGGGCGCGUAGGCGGCCCGGUAAGUCUGGAGUGAAAGUCCUGUUCUUAAGAGGGGAAUUGCUUUGGAUACUGUCGGGCUUGAGUGUAGGAGAGGUAAGUGGAAUUCCCAGUGUAGCGGUGAAAUGCGUAGAGAUUGGGAGGAACACCAGUGGCGAAGGCGACUUACUGGACUGUAACUGACGCUGAGGCGCGAAAGUGUGGGGAGCAAACAGGAUUAGAUACCCUGGUAGUCCACACUGUAAACGAUGAAUGCUAGGUGUAGGGGGUAUCGACCCCUUCUGUGCCGCAGUCAACACAAUAAGCAUUCCGCCUGGGGAGUACGGCCGCAAGGUUGAAACUCAAAGGAAUUGACGGGG
This 397-nucleotide ribosomal RNA is filed under the name uncultured bacterium. Its description in RNAcentral is "partial 16S ribosomal RNA". It matches the Rfam family "Bacterial small subunit ribosomal RNA", at positions 523 to 918 of the family's 1533-position model. The record is from RNAcentral.